ACGGAAGAGCACCUUUUGCUUUGCUAUGCCACUCUACCACUCUGUUUCUGCUUUUGAGCCAGCAAAUUAUGGACUGACAUUGUAAAGCAAAAUAAACCUCUUCUCCUUAACAUGUUGCCUAAAACUGAAAGUGAAGCAACAGAUGGAGAGGAGGACACGGAGAGCCGCCAGGGGUGCUUGCUAAUUAGCCGAUGCUAUUCUGCACACCAGCACUGUUCAAUCCUGAGCCACUAGUCGUAUUUGUGACAAACCUGCUCUAAGACCUUGAGUCACAGUAUGGGAGUUAAAUACCGGCUCAGGACUCAGUUGAUGACUUGGGAAGAAUAUCCAAGACUUCAAUAUAUCCUUGGACUUCUGGAAGUCUAUGUGUCUUCCUUGCUAAGUGGACAGGCAAGU
Molecule: long non-coding RNA, 396 nt
Organism: Cavia porcellus (domestic guinea pig)
Lineage: Eukaryota; Metazoa; Chordata; Mammalia; Rodentia; Caviidae
Exons: 4
Source: RefSeq, a predicted model, not a curated record